Molecule: long non-coding RNA, 2731 nt
Filed under: Solanum tuberosum (potato)
Lineage: Eukaryota; Viridiplantae; Streptophyta; Magnoliopsida; Solanales; Solanaceae
Description: long non-coding RNA (STUB_LNC010250)
Source: RNAcentral
UUUGUUCCAUCAAACCCAAAAGUAAAGGCGGUAAGUACAAACAAACUUCCCAAGCCUAUUAUAUUCCAUGAUGGCCGUCUUAUCAAAAAGCCAACACCACUAAUGUCUCUUCUCAUCAUUCUUUGGAUCCCCUUCGGCUUCUUCCUAUCUUGUUUGCGAGCUUGUGCAGGAUUACUCCUCCCUACACCUCUUCAAUACUACGCCUCAUGGGCCAUGGGUGUCCGUCUCAUAAUCAGAGGCAACCCACCACCCCGUAUCAAGAAAUCUAAAGAUCAAUCAGGCGUACUCUUUGUUUGUAGUCACAAGACUCUUUGUGACGCUGUUUUACUCUCUACAGUGUUAGGUCGCCCUAUCCCAGCAGUUGCAUACUCUCUUUCGCGAUUUUCUGAAAUCAUAGCACCAAUUAAAACAAUUAGACUCACUAGAGAACGAGGUUCUGAUGCAUCCAUUAUAAAACAACUAUUAAAAGAAGGUGAUCUCACAAUUUUCCCAGAAGGGACUACUUGUCGCGAACCAUUUCUUCUUAGAUUUUCAUCAUUAUUUGCUGAGCUAACCAAUGAGAUCGUCCCCGUGGCAAUGGUGAAUAAGAUGAGCAUGUUUCAUGGUACUACGGCUAGAGGAUGGAAAUGGAUGGACAUGUUUUUCUUUCUGAUGAAUCCACGUCCCACUUAUGAAAUUACAUUCUUGAAUAAGUUGUCGUAUGAGUACACUUGCAAGUCUGGGAAAUCAAGCCAUGAAGUAGCUAACUACGUACAAAAGGUUAUCGCGGAAACUCUCUCUUACGAGUGUACUAUUUUUACCAGGAAGGAUAAGUACAUAGCUCUUGCAGGAAACGAUGGCACAGUUAUGAAGAAAAGUUGAAUAAGCUAAAAGUAUAAAGAAGUUUUUAUUAAUUUGAUCAACAAUAAUGUGAAAAUGUUACUAACAUUAUAAAAAUAAUGAAGGUUGCUUACUCUACUCUACAAUUCCACCUUAAAGUUAUUAUUGUAAUUUCAAUUUCUGCUUUGGUUGAUGAUUUGAGUGAUCCUGUUAAGGUAACUAAAAUUAGGUUUAUAUGCGGCCCAGAUUCAAUCAUUUAUCUCAUCAAAGAUAAACAGACGAGAGAAGUAUUGAAAACAUCCUUAAACUUGAUACAAAUUAUUAAUUUCGUCUUCCUGAACUAUUGAUGGUCUUAAAAAUACCUCUCUACUUGACUAACUUAACUUAAAUACACACUCCGAUCUACCAUAUGACAUAGUAAGUGGUCUCAAACUCUUGUAGGAGCAUGUGACUCUUAAUAAAAAGUCGAGAUAAGUGUUGAAAACUCCUCUAAACUUGGUGAGAAUUCAGGGGUGUAUUUCAUUCAUGUUGCAAGAUUGGGUGUGUAUUUAAGUUCAAUUAGUUGAGUAAAGAGGUGUUUUUAAGGCUGUUAAUAGUUCGACACUGAGUUUAUGGGUGUUUUCAAUACUUCUCUCUGAACAAAAUAAUGAGAUUUUUCGUUACUUGUCUCUUUCGAUACGUAAUUAACUUUAUUAAUUUAAUUAAAUGAAUUGGACUAAGAGCUCACAUGUGCUAAUUUCUAUCUUUUCGUAGGCUUAACUAACCUACAUUAUUCCAAAGAAGCAUUAAUAAAAAGAAUUCAACAAUUUGUGCCAAUUAUUAAAUGCUAGAGAUGUCAAACAAUGUAGCUUUACCACGGGCUUAGUGUUAUAGCACACAAUAUAAGUGCAUAAAUGUAUAAGUUAUGUAAUGGCAUAAAAUAGAAAAAUAAAGAUUACACAAAGAGUAAAUUUCAAGCAUAUUAAAAUGGGGAUAACAACAUCUCCUACUAUUGAGAAAUGCACUUUGGAAGGUCGAGCAAGAGAUACAAUAGUUGCUAACUUGGAUGGAACUUUACUACGAAGUAAAGCUACUUUUGCUUAUUUCGCGUUGGUAGCAUUCGAUGUUGGUGGGGUCUUAAGGUUACUAUUUCUUCUCUUAGUUUCACCUUUUUUCAGUAUUCUUUACUAUUUCAUCUCGGAGUCUGUUGGACUCCAAGUUAUUAUCUUUGUAACUUUUGUAGGGAUGAAGGUCUCCGAUAUAGAAUCAGCAGCACGUGCUGUGCUUCCAAAGUUCUACUCUGAAGACCUUCAUCCCGAGUCUUGGAGAGUAUUCUCAUCAUGUGGGAAACGUUGUGUUUUGACUUCCACCCCUAGGAUUAUGGUGGAACCAUUUUUGAAAGACUACUUGGGGGUAGAAAUUGUUUUAGGGACCGAGAUUGAAACAUAUAAAGGUAGAGCAACUGGCAUUGUUAGAUCGCCCGGAGUUCUUGUUGGGAAGAACAAGGCUAAUGCUCUUAGAACGACUUUUGGAGAUACUCAACCUGAUAUUGGCUUGGGUGAUCGCGAUACUGAUAUUCCUUUUGUGACAUUGUGUAAGGAAGGCUACAUUGUUCCAUCAAACCCAAAAGUAAAGGCGGUAAGUACAAACAAACUUCCCAAGCCUAUUAUAUUCCAUGAUGGUCGUCUUAUCAAAAAGCCAACACCGCUAAUACCUCUUCUCAUCAUUCUUUGGAUCCCCUUCGGCUUCUUCCUAUCUUGUUUGCGAGCUUGUGCAGGAUUACUCCUCCCUACACCUCUUCAAUACUACGCCUCAUGGGCCAUGGGUGUCCGUCUCAUAAUCAGAGGCAACCCACCACCCCGUAUCAAGAAAUCUAAAGAUCAAUCAGGCGUACUCUUUGUUUGUAGUCACAAGACUCUUUGUGACGCUGUUU